Molecule: ribosomal RNA, 3099 nt
Filed under: Triticum aestivum (bread wheat)
Lineage: Eukaryota; Viridiplantae; Streptophyta; Magnoliopsida; Poales; Poaceae
Description: partial small subunit ribosomal RNA
Source: RNAcentral
AUGGCCACUACUUGGCCUGUUGCCGGGACUGGCUGGGGCAUAGGCCUGUCCUUCUUAAUUCUCACACCCAUCAUCGCCUUUUACCUGCCCAAAAUCCUAUCCAGAUAUUCCGGAGACGACAUUAACGAGGCACGGCAGAAGCUCCAGGAGCUGGAGAUCCACACCAUCCCGGAACUGAAGAAGACGCUGCGGGAGGUGGAGGAACAGAGGAUGCUGCAGGCAGCGAUAAAAGAGACAUCUGAUGACGCGCUCGACAAGAUGGUGGUCUGGCUGAGGCAUGCCCAGUAUGAAGCGGAAGACAUCCUCGAUCUGAUUGAUUAUCACAAGAUCGAGAGGAAGUUUGUCCUUAAAUCGCAUGGCAGCAGCUGGCCGCAUCGUCUACAUGGCACUGUGUCCACCUGCAACAUGAGCUGCACGGGGAUUGCACAUAUAAUCUGGCAGGGAUCAGCUUGGCUACUGCAGUUGGCGCGGAAGAGCUCCUUGAGUAGGUUUUCAUUCCUCCACAGGUCAGAUGAUGUACUUCCGGUGACGACCAGUGCCACGCCGUCGCCCUCCGACGAGACAGUUCCGGCGGCUACCAGUGCUGCACCCAGGUUCUGCUGCAGCUCCAUAUUCUACUGGUUCCUUGAUGCGGGUGCCCGCAUUUACCGAAACUGGUUUUCUGACGUGGUUGGCAUCACUGGCUACAAGGAGAAUGCCACUGAGUUGGAUUAUGUCCUUCCUAGUGUCUCAAGACGGAACCUGAAGGAAAGAAUAGAGAAAGUACAAAGAACCAUCAGUUUAGUGAAGAAGUCGCAUCUCUUGGUAGCAAGCAAGAGCGCAGCGAAUGAUAUUGUUAACAUGCACAGGAGAAAAAUUACAUCAUGUAGCAGCAAGAGGGAGGUAUUUGGUCGAGACAUAUUGCUUACUGAUAUCAUGUCAAAGUUGCUUGGUGAGACACCACAUAAUAGUAUAGCACUGAGCUCCAGUAGCAAUAAAUGUUACUCCGUGAUUGGCAUAUAUGGCGUUGCAGGGUCAGGGAAGACUACCCUGGCUCGAUAUGUACUGGAUCAUGUAAAGGAGUACUAUGCUGAACAUUUUGACACCCUCAUGUGCAUUCAUGUUACCGAGACUUUUACUGUGGAUGAUAUAUUUCAUGACAUGCUGGAGCAGAUUACCAAACAUAGAAACUCUAACACAUUAAGCUGCGAAGAGCUGAAAAAGAAGUUGAAGCAGAAUUUGAGAGGGAAACGUUUCUUUUUGAUAUUGGAUGAUGUUUGGGUGAAGGGCAACAAUUACCAGGAACUGAAGGAGCUAUGCUCUCCAUUUAAUGUUGGGAUGAAAGGAAGCAAAAUUCUGGCGACUGCUCGAAGAGAAGAUGCAAUUCGAGCUCUAGGUGCCAAUGGACUUAUUGCAAUAUCUGAUUUGGAUGAGGACCAAUACUUCAGAAUGUUCAUGCAUUACGCACUGAAUGGUUUAAGUGUUGAUGAUCGAGAAUUUGAACCAAUUGGGAGAAAGAUUGCGGUGAAGCUACACAGAUCACCUAUUGCAGCAGCAGUAGUGGGAGGACAGCUUCAUGGACAAACCAUCGCAUUUUGGAAAACAACUGCAACACUUGAUGUGUUGAAUGACACCAUGGGAGCUCUUAGGUGGAGCUAUAUGCAACUUGAUAUGGACAUCAGGCGAUGCUUUGAAUACUGCAAUAUUUUCCCUAGAAGAUUCAAACUUGAAAAGGACAAAUUAGUUCACCUGUGGAUAGCGCAAGGGUUUGUGAAGACCGGUCGUGAAACAACGAAUAUGGAAGAUGUAGCUGAAAGGUACAUUCAUGAGUUACAGUCAUGCUCAUUUCUGCAACCAGAAGAAACUGGGUACUUUUCAAUUCAUGACCUGGUGCAUGAAUUAGCACAGACGAUAGCCGGAAGUGAUUCCUUCAGAAUCGAGAAUGCAAGUUGGCGGAGAGAAGAAAUGGAAGUAGAUGUCCCUACAGAUGCUCGACAUCUUUUUGUUCAGAAAUACGACGGAGAUUUGAUUACUAAGAAGAUCCUUCAAAUGGAAAAUUUACGCACACUGAUCUUUUAUACUGUUGGGCGUGCGCCGGUUGAGGAAAAAGUCAUUGAGAGUAUAUUCAAGAGGCUACAGAAAUUGCGGGUACUUGCCAUAACUUUGAGUUCAGAACAUCAUGGUCGAUACAUUAAGAAACCCGACAAGAUCUCAGUCUCAGAAUCUAUCAGUCAGUUAAAGCAUCUACGCUAUCUCGCUAUACGGGCAAAAGUGGCGUGCAGGAUAAUUUUACCAAGCACACUAGCUAAACUUUACCAUAUCCAGAUGCUAGAUUUUGGUAACUGUGAAAAAAUGGAAUUGCCCACUGCUGACCUUAUCAGUAUGCGGCGUUUAUUGUUGCCAUUGACAGGCGUGAAAUUUCCUAACCUAGGCAGGUCAAAGUUGCUCCAGACGCUACCAGGCUUCACUGUAAGGGAUGAACAAGGGUGUGAGUUAAAGCAAUUGAGGGACCUAAACAAGCUUCGCGGCAGCCUGUGGAUCAGGGGGCUUGAAAAUGUUCAGACCAAGAAGGAAGCUCUCGAAGCCAAUCUUGCUGCCAAGGAAAGGCUCACACAAGUGUCACUCGAGUGGCGUGCUAAUAGGAGCUGCAAUCCAAAAGUUCAAGCAGAUGUGCUCGAGUGUCUUUGUCCUCCCACAUCACUUACAAAACUGAAUAUCUUGAACUACAAAGGCUCGAGGUACCCAAAAUGGAUGGUGUGCAAGCAGAACGGCGGUCCAAAGGACCUGAAAGAACUUCGGCUCACUGGGUGGAACCAACUGGGACGUGCUCCUGACCUCGUGGCUUUCACUCUUCUUUCUUCGCUAGAUCUUUGGAACUGUGGAUGGGACGCCUUGCCAGGCAAUAUGGAGCACCUCACAUUGCUAAAGAGACUGGUGAUGUACAAAUGCUUGAAUAUCCUGUCUCUUCCAACAUUGCCCCAGUCUCUCGAGAGGUUUCUACUCCGCAAGUGCAACGAUGGGUUCAUGAAGUCUUGUCUAACAAUCGGACAUCCAAACUGGGAAAAGAUUGAGCACAUUCCUGAGAAAACAAUCGCAGACAAGACGUGGACAGAUCUCUGA